AGAGUUUGAUCAUGGCUCAGAACGAACGCUGGCGGCGUGCUUAACACAUGCAAGUCGAACGGGAACCCUUGGAUUCGUCUGGGGGGGAGAGUGGCGAACGGGUGAGUAACACGUAGGUGACCUGCCCCAAAGAGGGGAAUAACCACUGGAAACGGUGGCUAAUGCCCCAUGUGCUUGGUGAUUCGUUUCACCAAGGAAAGCUCCGGCGCUUUGGGAGGGGCCUGCGGCCCAUCAGGUAGUUGGUAGGGUAAUGGCCUACCAAGCCGAUGACGGGUAGGGGGCGUGAGAGCGUGAUCCCCCACACUGGCACUGAGAUACGGGCCAGACUCCUACGGGAGGCAGC
This 343-nucleotide ribosomal RNA is filed under the name uncultured bacterium. Its description in RNAcentral is "bacterial SSU rRNA". It matches the Rfam family "Bacterial small subunit ribosomal RNA", at positions 8 to 352 of the family's 1533-position model. The record is from RNAcentral.